CCCUUAGAUGUUCUGGGCCGCACGCGCGCUACACUGAUGCAUUCAACGAGCCUAUCCUUGACCGACAGGUCCGGGUAAUCUUUGAAUCUGCAUCGUGACGGGGAUAGAUUAUUGCAAUUAUUAAUCUUCAACGAGGAAUGCCUAGUAGGCGCAAGUCAUCAGCUUGCGUCGAUUACGUCCCUGCCCUUUGUACACACCGCCCGUCGCUCCUACCGAUUGGGUGUGCUGGUGAAAUGUUCGGAUCGGCCGUUUGUCGCGGUUUCCGCGUCAUGUGGCUGAGAAGUUCAUUAAACCCUCCCACCUAGAGGAAGGGGAAGUCGUAACA
This 325-nucleotide ribosomal RNA is filed under the name uncultured eukaryote. Its description in RNAcentral is "partial 18S ribosomal RNA". It matches the Rfam family "Eukaryotic small subunit ribosomal RNA", at positions 1470 to 1796 of the family's 1831-position model. The record is from RNAcentral.